Molecule: long non-coding RNA, 556 nt
Organism: Physeter macrocephalus (sperm whale)
Lineage: Eukaryota; Metazoa; Chordata; Mammalia; Artiodactyla; Physeteridae
Exons: 4
Source: RefSeq, a predicted model, not a curated record
UCUGAGGAAGCUUAGCGGUUGGCCUCCCCCUUCCAGAGCUACCACUUCAGAGUAGACAGGGGCUCCAAAUGCAGCUGCAUUGUUUACCAGCUCUGGCAGUUUGGAUAAGUGACUUCACCUUCUUGAAUCUCACUUCCUUCAUCUGCAGAGUGGGGGUAAUGCUUGUACAUGGUACAGAAGUUCAAAUUUUAACAAUAGGUAUGCAGAGAGGAGUCUCCCUUCCCAUCUCCCACCCGCCCCCGGCCUCCCUAUCCCCGGAAGCAACUGCUGUCACCUGAUUAUCCAUCCAGAGAAGUUCUGUCCAGCAGUUUUCCAGCUGUAUUCUACUUGAGCCCCGGGCUUCCCACAAGUGCAUCAGAAGCCAACAUAGAAGAGAAGAAUGAAGGAGAAAACCCAUGAGGGCAUCCAUCCAUCAGCGAACACCCAAGCCAAGGUCCUUUAGGAACAAAGAACACCUCCAGACCCGAGCUGAGCCCAUCUGGAGAACGUCCACUGAACCAGACCAGCGACACGGGAAGUCGGGCCUCACAGCUACCUUUCCUGAGCCUGAGCCACC